GAUGAACGCUAGCUACAGGCUUAACACAUGCAAGUCGAGGGGUAACGAGAGGAAAGCUUGCUUUCCUCGUCGACGACCGGCGCACGGGUGAGUAACGCGUAUCCAACCUGCCCCCAACUAGGGAAUAACCUUGCGAAAGUAAGACUAAUACCCUAUAAUUUCCUCAGAUGACAUCUGACGAGGAGUAAAGAUUUAUCGGUUGUGGAUGGGGAUGCGUCUGAUUGGCUUGUUGGCGGGGUAACGGCCCACCAAGGCAGCGAUCAGUAGGGGUUCUGAGAGGAAGGUCCCCCACAUUGGAACUGAGACACGGUCCAAACUCCUACGGGAGGCAGCAGUGAGGAAUAUUGGUCAAUGGGCGGAAGCCUGAACCAGCCAAGUAGCGUGCAGGAUGACGGCCCUAUGGGUUGUAAACUGCUUUUAUACAGGAAUAAAGUUAGCCACGUGUGGUUAUUUGUAGGUACUGUAUGAAUAAGGACCGGCUAAUUCCGUGCCAGCCGCCGCCGUAA
Molecule: ribosomal RNA, 506 nt
Filed under: uncultured bacterium
Lineage: Bacteria
Description: partial 16S ribosomal RNA
Rfam family: Bacterial small subunit ribosomal RNA
Source: RNAcentral